AGCAGGCGUGGCUCCCACAGCGACAGGUCACCGCACCAUGAACCAGGACCUGGAGACCCUGAUGGCCUUGGAACGGGCCCACAUCCUAGCCAAUUACACCCAGGCACGCCCAGUAGGGCUCCAGGGGCCGCCC
Lutra lutra (Eurasian river otter) is the source of this 133-nucleotide long non-coding RNA. RefSeq lists it as uncharacterized. Lineage: Eukaryota; Metazoa; Chordata; Mammalia; Carnivora; Mustelidae. The transcript has 3 exons. The record is from RefSeq and is a predicted model, not a curated record.